RNAcentral lists this ribosomal RNA (508 nucleotides) under uncultured Desulfobulbus sp. RNAcentral describes it as "bacterial SSU rRNA". It matches the Rfam family "Bacterial small subunit ribosomal RNA", at positions 903 to 1382 of the family's 1533-position model. The record is from RNAcentral. Lineage: Bacteria; Pseudomonadati; Thermodesulfobacteriota; Desulfobulbia; Desulfobulbales; Desulfobulbaceae.
CCUUGCCAGCCCGCUCAGAAACUCAAAGGAAGUUGACGGGGCCCGCACAAGCGGUGGAGUAUGUGGUUUAAUUCGAUGCAACGCGAAGAACCUUACCUGGUCUUGACAUCCCGGAGACCCUUAGGAAACUAGGGGUGCUUCCAUCUGGAAGAAUCUGGAGACAGGUGCUGCAUGGCUGUCGUCAGCUCGUGUCGUGAGAUGUUGGGUUAAGUCCCGCAACGAGCGCAACCCUUGCCUUUAGUUGCCAGCAGUUCGGCUGGGCACUCUAAAGGGACUGCCGGUGUUAAACCGGAGGAAGGUGGGGAUGACGUCAAGUCCUCAUGGCCUUUAUGACCAGGGCUACACACGUACUACAAUGGCCGAUACAAAGGGCAGCGACACUGCGAGGUGAAGCCAAUCCCGUAAAAUCGGUCUCAGUCCGGAUUGGAGUCUGCAACUCGACUCCAUGAAGUUGGAAUCGCUAGUAAUCGUGGAUCAGCAUGCCACGGUGAAUACGUUCCCGGGCCUU